UUGUGUAGUUUCUUAUGUUUAUAUGGUUAUGUAAAUUUAAAAUUCAUUCCAUCAAUAUUUCGCAAUUCGGCGGCAAGUCGCUUGCUGCGUCUGCGCAGCUGCCUAGACGUGCCCGCGCAUCCACCGAAAAACAACAGAGAGGGCGCGGAGCCGACGAUACUACUUUUGUCCAAACGCUAUAACCUAUGAUGCAUCGCACAUGCGCAGUGCGUGGACGAGUGUUGGAUACCUUAUAUUGGAACAAAAACAAACCAAUCGGUGCUGGCUACAUUAUAUCUCAACAGGGGACAGAGAACCAGCGCCGCUUACUGGUCAGUGGUCGAAGAUGUGUCAGUCCAUCAGUCUUCACCGAAUGUGUUCGACGCGCUUAGUUUGAAGGCUCUACGCUUUGGUUCUGUCUCCCAAACAAACCGGAGCUACCCGAUUGCAAAUUAUCACGGAACGAUACUCUAAUUAAUCAGCUGCUGUCUGUCAGCUUUGAACUUCUCUCACUCCCCCUUUACCUUGGGCUUCAUUGAUCAGGAGUACAAUCAUGAUCCAUUUGCUCAUGCUUAUCACUCAGCUGUCUAUU
Molecule: non-coding RNA, 571 nt
Organism: Chiloscyllium plagiosum (whitespotted bambooshark)
Lineage: Eukaryota; Metazoa; Chordata; Chondrichthyes; Orectolobiformes; Hemiscylliidae
Source: RefSeq, a predicted model, not a curated record